This 31-nucleotide transfer RNA is filed under the name Holbrookia lacerata lacerata. RNAcentral describes it as "partial tRNA-Thr". The record is from RNAcentral. Lineage: Eukaryota; Metazoa; Chordata; Lepidosauria; Squamata; Phrynosomatidae.
GCCUCUGUAGCUUAAAAUCUCUAAAGCAUUG